This 442-nucleotide ribosomal RNA is filed under the name uncultured bacterium. RNAcentral's name for it is "partial 16S ribosomal RNA". It matches the Rfam family "Bacterial small subunit ribosomal RNA", at positions 338 to 795 of the family's 1533-position model. The record is from RNAcentral.
CCUACGGGAUGCAGCAGUGGGGAAUAUUGCGCAAUGGGCGAACGCCUGACGCAGCGACUCCGCGUGAGGGAUGAAGGCUCUCGGGUUGUCAACCUCUUUGACAGGGGAAGAGCAGUAGCCGUUACCUUGAAAACAAUUCACGGCUAACUACGUGCCAGCAGCCGCGGUAAUACGUAGGUGGAAGGCGUUGUCCGGAUUUACUGGGUGGAAAGGGUGUGUAGUCGGGAGGGCAAGUCAGAUGCGAAAUUCGGAGGCUCAACCUCCGAAUUGCAUUUGAAACUGUUUGUCUUGAGUACGGGAGAGGCAGGCGGAAUUCCGUGUGUAGCGGUGAAAUGCGUAGAUAUAAGGAGGAACACCGGUGGCGAAGGCAGUCUACUGGACAGCAACUGACGGUGAGGCGCGAAAGCGUGGGGAGCAAACAGGAUUAGAUACCCGUGUAGUC